UACGGGGGGGGCAAGCGUUGUUCGGAAUUACUGGGCGUAAAGGGCUCGUAGGCGGCCAACUAAGUCAGACGUGAAAUCCCUCGGCUUAACCGGGGAACUGCGUCUGAUACUGGAUGGCUUGAGUCCGGGAGAGGGAUGCGGAAUUCCAGGUGUAGCGGUGAAAUGCGUAGAUAUCUGGAGGAACACCGGUGGCGAAGGCGGCAUCCUGGACCGGCACUGACGCUGAUGAGCGAAAGCCAGGGGAGCAAACAGG
Molecule: ribosomal RNA, 253 nt
Filed under: uncultured bacterium
Lineage: Bacteria
Description: partial 16S ribosomal RNA
Rfam family: Bacterial small subunit ribosomal RNA
Source: RNAcentral